AAAUAUUAUAAAUAUUAUAUCUAACAUAAUGAGUAUCUAUAAUAUAAUAUAUUAUAGAUACUCAUUAUGCGUGUCUUCUCGUGCGUUAUAACGCACGUAAUUUUAAUCCUCGUGUGGGACAUUAGGGGGGGUCUUAAAAACUCGAUUCUCUUUACUAAACAUCAUCAUACAACAAGUUUUUAUCCUGGGGUGGGUACCCUUUUAAGGCACUUCUUACAUCAAGCAACAAACACAAACACCAAACCUCCUGACCUCCGAACUCGACAACUCAAACUCAACAACUCAAACUCAACAACUCAACUCCUGACCUCCGAACUCAACAACUCAACUCCUCAACUUUCAACUCAACCUACCCAUUCCUUGUUCCUAUUUCCAAAUUUCCUAGUUCCGAUUUCCCUCUCCUCUAAUUCCUAGUUUCAGUUUCGACCCUUCUCUUCUCCCCUCCGUGGUCCCCUUGCCGGAUCGGGGACCACUUCGGCCUCGCUUCGCUCCUUUUCUCUCAAGGUUUCUCAAAAAAGAAAAAGAAAUUACGUAAGUGAGCACAGAAACUUCUACCUUCAUCCGAAGUGGGAGCUCUAAAGGCUGUGCUUGGGGUAUCUUUCGAGAAUUGAUACCCCGGGGAAGUGGUAUUGGUGACACCACUUCCCUAUGCCCAUGUUGACCGACGUUGGCUCCAUACGGAGGGAACGGGGGAUUCUUUUGGUUGGGGAAUGUUUUUUGCUUAACACAUCAAAUCACAAAAAAACAUCCCCCUUAAGAAUCCCCCUCCGGUGGUGAAACAGAGAGAGACUGGCCCUUUAGGGACCAGUCUUUCCUUUAAUAAAUAUAACUCUCUCUAUUAUAAUAGAGAGAGCUAUAUUUAUUAUGUUAAUAAAUAGAUAUCUCUAUAUUAUAAUAUAGAGAUAUCUAUUUAUUAUGUAUUUAUAUAUUAUAAAAAUAUAUAAAUAUUAAAUUUAAAUAUUUAAAAUAAAUAUUAAAAUUAAAAAAAAAUAUUUAUAAAUAUUAUAAAUAUUAUAUCUAACAUAAUGAGUAUCUAUAAUAUAAUAUAUUAUAGAUACUCAUUAUGCGUGUCUUCUCGUGCGUUAUAACGCACGUAAUUUUAAUCCUCGUGUGGGACAUUAGGGGGGGUCUUAAAAACUCGAUUCUCUUUACUAAACAUCAUCAUACAACAAGUUUUUAUCCUGGGGUGGGUACCCUUUUAAGGCACUUCUUACAUCAAGCAACAAACACAAACACCAAACCUCCUGACCUCCGAACUCGACAACUCAAACUCAACAACUCAAACUCAACAACUCAACUCCUGACCUCCGAACUCAACAACUCAACUCCUCAACUUUCAACUCAACCUACCCAUUCCUUGUUCCUAUUUCCAAAUUUCCUAGUUCCGAUUUCCCUCUCCUCUAAUUCCUAGUUUCAGUUUCGACCCUUCUCUUCUCCCCUCCGUGGUCCCCUUGCCGGAUCGGGGACCACUUCGGCCUCGCUUCGCUCCUUUUCUCUCAAGGUUUCUCAAAAAAGAAAAAGAAAUUACGUAAGUGAGCACAGAAACUUCUACCUUCAUCCGAAGUGGGAGCUCUAAAGGCUGUGCUUGGGGUAUCUUUCGAGAAUUGAUACCCCGGGGAAGUGGUAUUGGUGACACCACUUCCCUAUGCCCAUGUUGACCGACGUUGGCUCCAUACGGAGGGAACGGGGGAUUCUUUUGGUUGGGGAAUGUUUUUUGCUUAACACAUCAAAUCACAAAAAAACAUCCCCCUUAAGAAUCCCCCUCCGGUGGUGAAACAGAGAGAGACUGGCCCUUUAGGGACCAGUCUUUCCUUUAAUAAAUAUAACUCUCUCUAUUAUAAUAGAGAGAGCUAUAUUUAUUAUGUUAAUAAAUAGAUAUCUCUAUAUUAUAAUAUAGAGAUAUCUAUUUAUUAUGUAUUUAUAUAUUAUAAAAAUAUAUAAAUAUUAAAUUUAAAUAUUUAAAAUAAAUAUUAAAAUUAAAAAAAAAUAUUUAUAAAUAUUAUAAAUAUUAUAUCUAACAUAAUGAGUAUCUAUAAUAUAAUAUAUUAUAGAUACUCAUUAUGCGUGUCUUCUCGUGCGUUAUAACGCACGUAAUUUUAAUCCUCGUGUGGGACAUUAGGGGGGGUCUUAAAAACUCGAUUCUCUUUACUAAACAUCAUCAUACAACAAGUUUUUAUCCUGGGGUGGGUACCCUUUUAAGGCACUUCUUACAUCAAGCAACAAACACAAACACCAAACCUCCUGACCUCCGAACUCGACAACUCAAACUCAACAACUCAAACUCAACAACUCAACUCCUGACCUCCGAACUCAACAACUCAACUCCUCAACUUUCAACUCAACCUACCCAUUCCUUGUUCCUAUUUCCAAAUUUCCUAGUUCCGAUUUCCCUCUCCUCUAAUUCCUAGUUUCAGUUUCGACCCUUCUCUUCUCCCCUCCGUGGUCCCCUUGCCGGAUCGGGGACCACUUCGGCCUCGCUUCGCUCCUUUUCUCUCAAGGUUUCUCAAAAAAGAAAAAGAAAUUACGUAAGUGAGCACAGAAACUUCUACCUUCAUCCGAAGUGGGAGCUCUAAAGGCUGUGCUUGGGGUAUCUUUCGAGAAUUGAUACCCCGGGGAAGUGGUAUUGGUGA
This 2630-nucleotide long non-coding RNA is filed under the name Citrus x clementina. RNAcentral's name for it is "Citrus clementina (C. clementina) long non-coding RNA (CCLE_LNC006180)". The record is from RNAcentral. Lineage: Eukaryota; Viridiplantae; Streptophyta; Magnoliopsida; Sapindales; Rutaceae.